Molecule: ribosomal RNA, 327 nt
Filed under: uncultured eukaryote
Lineage: Eukaryota
Description: partial 18S ribosomal RNA
Rfam family: Eukaryotic small subunit ribosomal RNA
Source: RNAcentral
CCCUUAGAUGUUCUGGGCCGCACACGCGCUACACUGAAGGAGGCAGCGUGUACUCCUGGAUCGAAAGAUUUGGGUAACCCGCGAAUCUCCUUCGUGCUAGGGAUUGAGGUUUGCAAUUAUUCUUCAUGAACGAGGAAUUCCCAGUAAGUGCAAGUCAUAAGCUUGCGCUGACUACGUCCCUGCCCUUUGUACACACCGCCCGUCGCUACUACCGAUUGAAUGAUUUAGUGAGGACUUCGGACUGGGACCGAUGCGGCUUUCGGGCUGCGUCGGUAUUCUGGAAAGAUGUCCAAACUGUAUCAUUUAGAGGAAGUAAAAGUCGUAACA